AUUGAACGCUGGCGGCAUGCCUUACACAUGCAAGUCGAGCGGCAGCGCGGGGGCAACCCUGGCGGCGAGCGGCGAACGGGUGAGUAAUACAUCGGAACGUGUCCAGUAGCGGGGGAUAACCUGUCGAAAGAUAGGCUAAUACCGCGUACGACCUACGGGUGAAAGCGGGGACCGCAAGGCCUCGCACUAUUGGAGCCGGCCGAUGUCGGAUUANCUAGUUGGCGGGGUAACGCCCACCAAGGCGACGAUCCGUAGCUGGUCUGAGAGGACGACCAGCCACACUGGAACUGAGACACGGU
RNAcentral lists this ribosomal RNA (299 nucleotides) under uncultured bacterium. RNAcentral's name for it is "partial 16S ribosomal RNA". It matches the Rfam family "Bacterial small subunit ribosomal RNA", at positions 29 to 330 of the family's 1533-position model. The record is from RNAcentral.